GAAAAAAGUAAAUUAAUAGGUUAUCAUAUAUGAGAUUAAAAGGGAAAACGGUGAGAAUCCGUUACAGCCCCCGCUACUGUAAACGAUGACGAACCCUGUUUAUCCACUGUCCAGUGCUUAAUGCUAUUAUUGAUGGUAUUGAGUGGCGGAUGGGAAGGAAGGGAGAGGAAGAAUCGUGAGUCAGGAGACCUGCCUAUUAAUACAUCUAAUC
This 211-nucleotide non-coding RNA is filed under the name Paramaledivibacter caminithermalis. The record is from RNAcentral. RNAcentral also lists the same sequence under 1 other name. Lineage: Bacteria; Bacillati; Bacillota; Clostridia; Peptostreptococcales; Caminicellaceae.